RNAcentral lists this ribosomal RNA (441 nucleotides) under uncultured bacterium. RNAcentral describes it as "bacterial SSU rRNA". It matches the Rfam family "Bacterial small subunit ribosomal RNA", at positions 958 to 1398 of the family's 1533-position model. The record is from RNAcentral.
AACGCGAAGAACCUUACCUACUCUUGACAUCCUGCGAAGUGAGCUGAGAGGCUUAUGUGCCGAAAGGAACGCAGAGACAGGUGCUGCAUGGCUGUCGUCAGCUCGUGUUGUGAGAUGUUGGGUUAAGUCCCGUAACGAGCGCAACCCUUGCCCUUAGUUGCUAACAUGUAAUGGUGAGCACUCUAAGGGGACUGCUGGUGAUGAACCGGAGGAAGGCGGGGACGACGUCAAGUCAUCAUGGCCUUUAUGAGUAGGGCUACACACGUGCUACAAUGGGGCGUACAGAGGGUAGCCAACCCGCGAGGGGGAGCCAAUCUCUUAAAGCGUCUCGUAGUCCAGAUUGGAGUCUGCAACUCGACUCCAUGAAGUUGGAAUCGCUAGUAAUCGCGGAUCAGCAUUGCCGCGGUGAAUACGUUCCCGGGCCUUGUACACACCGCUGUA